Molecule: transfer RNA, 74 nt
Filed under: Chloroflexi bacterium 54-19
Lineage: Bacteria; Bacillati; Chloroflexota; Chloroflexia; Candidatus Chloroheliales
Also listed under: 1 other name
Description: tRNA-Thr
Rfam family: tRNA
About the family: Transfer RNA (tRNA) molecules are approximately 80 nucleotides in length.
Source: RNAcentral
GCCGGGUUAGCUCAGUUGGUAGAGCAACCGCCUUGUAAGCGGAAGGUCAGAGGUUCAAACCCUUCUACCUGGCA